RNAcentral lists this long non-coding RNA (1220 nucleotides) under Mytilus galloprovincialis (Mediterranean mussel). Lineage: Eukaryota; Metazoa; Mollusca; Bivalvia; Mytilida; Mytilidae. The record is from RNAcentral.
UAUUUCUCAUUGAUUUUAUUUGUGACAACUAAUCUUUAAUACAAAACUUAACAAAUAAAGCAAAUUAUAAAUAAUUAUCAAUAUAUUACCAGUUGCUAUAACAAAUACUGGUUAUCAUACAAUCUAAUAAUGUAAGAAUAAUAUUAAUGAUAUGAAAAAAAAAUGCUAGCACUGGUCACAAUUUCACUUAAAAAUUUAAAAGAUCAAGUAUCUUUAUAGAAACUGGUCUGUCGUGGAUAACUUAUAAAAGAGAUCAUGAUUACAAAUAGAAAGUAACAUAAAAAUCAUAUCAGUAUCCAGCAAUAUAACAGGUGAAACUGUGAGCUACUGCUCACUGAUGAUACCCCCUUCGCAAGUGGAUAAUCUUAAUAGUGUAAAAAUAUGUAUGUUUUCAUUAAACAGGAAGUUGAAGUGUGAUGAUUUAUAAAAUGCAUCACACGGUAUACUGACUUACAUAAACCCUCAAACCAAAUUUCAGAAAUCCUUGUAGUGUACGUAGUUCCUGAGAUAAAUGCAACAAAAAUUUUCAACUUGGCUAUCAUGGGACGAAAGGACAGAUAGAUGGACUGACAGACAGACAGAGGUUAAACAGACUGAGUAUACCCCAACUUUUUUAAAGCGUGGGUAUAAUUAAAGGACUAAUUUCGUAACAAGGGCAAAUUGAAUAUAUCCCUUGAUAUCAUCUCUCAUUAUUACUUUUAAUAUACUAGGGUAAUAACAAGCUUUCUUAGAGUAAAUUAUCUUUAAAACAAAAGACACAAACUUUUGUGAAAUAUUGUUCAUGUUUUUUUAACCUAACUAGUUUGAAUUUAUUAUUCAGUUUCUGGUGUUAUAUUUAAACAGCAAACAUUUUCAAGAUUUUUAUAAACUUCAAAAUGGAAGCCAAAUUAAAAAAAAAUAGUGAUUUGUAAAUUAUUGAAGAAUCACAAAUCUGUGUUGCCAUAGGGAAAUGGUAGUCCAUUGUGACCUUUAAAAGUAUCAUUGACCCUAAAAAUUCGAAAAUUGAUAUGUUGUAAUUUUGCAACAACAACCCAAUUAACCUGUUUUGAUAUUUCUUAUAUAUAUUAUAUUACUACAUUCAAUGUGAUACAUAAAAUAUAUCUUCAUGGUAGAAACAGAAACAAAGCCACAAUCAUAAUAUAAUGCAUAAGAAAAUUCCCUUUUUUUAAGUGAUGUCACAAUAGUAAAAACAUAUAGCCCAGUCAAUGUAGCAUAAAUUC